AUUGAACGCUGGCGGCAUGCCUUACACAUGCAAGUCGAACGGCAGCACGGGAGCAAUCCUGGUGGCGAGUGGCGAACGGGUGAGUAAUAUAUCGGAACGUGCCCAGUGAUGGGGGAUAGCCCGGCGAAAGCCGGACUAAUACCGCAUACGACCUACGGGUGAAAGCAGGGGAUCGCAAGACCUUGCGUCAUUGGAGCGGCCGAUAUCAGAUUAGCUGUUGGUGGGGUAAAAGCCUACCAAGGCGACGAUCUGUAGCUGGUCUGAGAGGACGACCAGCCACACUGGGACUGAGACACGGCCCAGACUCCUACGGGAGGCAGCAGUGGGGAAUUUUGGACAAUGGGCGCAAGCCUGAUCCAGCCAUGCCGCGUGCGGGAAGAAGGCCU
Molecule: ribosomal RNA, 386 nt
Filed under: uncultured bacterium
Lineage: Bacteria
Description: bacterial SSU rRNA
Rfam family: Bacterial small subunit ribosomal RNA
Source: RNAcentral